CAGUAGCCGCGGUAAUACGGAGGGGGCUAGCGUUGUUCGGAAUUACUGGGCGUAAAGCGCACGUAGGCGGCUUUGUAAGUCAGAGGUGAAAGCCCGGGGCUCAACCCCGGAAUUGCCUUUGAGACUGCAUCGCUUGAAUCCAGGAGAGGUGAGUGGAAUUCCGAGUGUAGAGGUGAAAUUCGUAGAUAUUCGGAAGAACACCAGUGGCGAAGGCGGCUUACUGGCUCAUACUGGACGCUGAGGUGCGAAAGCGUGGGGAGCAAACAGGAUUAGAUACCCCUGUAGUCCCUGUCUCUUAUAA
This 301-nucleotide ribosomal RNA is filed under the name uncultured bacterium. Its description in RNAcentral is "partial 16S ribosomal RNA". It matches the Rfam family "Bacterial small subunit ribosomal RNA", at positions 509 to 809 of the family's 1533-position model. The record is from RNAcentral.